AACGAGGCCGACCUGCGGCUGAGUUACCUGCGGAGGGAUCAUUACUGAGUUUUGAAAAGGUUUAUGACUUUGGUCAUAUUCCUUUUUCUUCUCUUCACCCUUUUGUUAUUAUUUUCCAAGUUGCUUUGGCAGGGAUGGCUUCGUCUCUGCCAAGGAACCUUAUCAAACACUUUGUUAUCCAACAAUUGGGAUGUCUUUUGUCUGAUUCUUAUGACUUGAAUAAAGUACAUAAAACUUUUA
This 240-nucleotide unclassified non-coding RNA is filed under the name soil metagenome. RNAcentral's name for it is "partial contains 5.8S ribosomal RNA, internal transcribed spacer 2, and large subunit ribosomal RNA". The record is from RNAcentral.